Molecule: ribosomal RNA, 91 nt
Filed under: Rodentolepis nana
Lineage: Eukaryota; Metazoa; Platyhelminthes; Cestoda; Cyclophyllidea; Hymenolepididae
Source: RNAcentral
GUCAGCGACCAUACCACGUAGAAAGCACCGGUUCUCGUCCGAUCACCGAAGUUAAACUACGACCGGAUGGGAAUACCCGGUGUUGCUGACU